This 429-nucleotide ribosomal RNA is filed under the name Bacillota bacterium. Its description in RNAcentral is "Firmicutes bacterium partial 16S ribosomal RNA". It matches the Rfam family "Bacterial small subunit ribosomal RNA", at positions 355 to 776 of the family's 1533-position model. The record is from RNAcentral. Lineage: Bacteria; Bacillati; Bacillota.
UAGGGAAUCUUCGGCAAUGGACGGCAGUCUGACCAAGCAACGCCGCGUGAGUGAAGAAGGUUUUCGGAUCGUAAAGCUCUGUUGUUAGAGAAGAACGUUGGUAGGAGAGGAAAAUUUACUAAGUGACGGUAACUAACCAGAAAGGGACGGCUAACUACGUGACAGCAGCCGCGGUAAUACGUAGGUCCCGAGCGUUGUCCGGAAUUAUUGGGCGUAAAGCGAGCGCAGGCGGUUCUGUAAGUCUGAAGUUAAAGGCAGUGGCUUAACCAUUGUACGCUUUGGAAGCGGGAGGACUUGAGUGCAGAAGGGGAGGGUGGAAUUCCAGGUGUAGCGGUGAAAUGCGUAGUUAUAUGGAGGAACACCGGUGGCGAAAGCGGCUCUCUGGUCUGUGACUGACGCGGAGGCUCGAAAGCGUGGGGAGCAAACAGG